This 371-nucleotide ribosomal RNA is filed under the name uncultured bacterium. RNAcentral describes it as "bacterial SSU rRNA". It matches the Rfam family "Bacterial small subunit ribosomal RNA", at positions 527 to 896 of the family's 1533-position model. The record is from RNAcentral.
GGGGGGUGCAAGCGUUGUUCGGAAUUAUUGGGCGUAAAGAGCGUGUAGGCGGUUUGUUAAGUCUGAUGUGAAAGCCCUGGGCUCAACCCAGGAAGUGCAUUGGAAACUGGCAGACUUGAAUACGGGAGAGGGCAGUGGAAUUCCUAGUGUAGGAGUGAAAUCCGUAGAUAUUAGGAGGAACACCGGUGGCGAAGGCGGCUGCCUGGACCGAUAUUGACGCUGAGACGCGAAAGCGUGGGUAGCAAACAGGAUUAGAUACCCUGGUAGUCCACGCCGUAAACGAUGAGAACUAGGUGUUGCGGGUAUUGACCCCUGCAGUGCCGCAGCUAACGCAUUAAGUUCUCCGCCUGGGAAGUACGGUCGCAAGACUA